This 222-nucleotide ribosomal RNA is filed under the name uncultured bacterium. Its description in RNAcentral is "partial 16S ribosomal RNA". It matches the Rfam family "Bacterial small subunit ribosomal RNA", at positions 126 to 334 of the family's 1533-position model. The record is from RNAcentral.
CUACCUCCGGGUGGAGGAUAACGUCCCGAAAGGGGCGCUAAUACUGCAUAAGACCACGUCCUGAAACGGAUGAGGUCAAAGCCGGCCUCUAUAUAUAAGCUGGCGCCUGGAGAUGAGUCCGCGGCCCAUCAGGUUGAUGGUAGGGUAAUGGCCUACCAUGCCUAAGACGGGUAGCUGGUCUGAGAGGAUGAUCAGCCACACUGGAACUGAGACACGGUCCAG